GACGAACGCUGGCGGCGUGCUUAACACAUGCAAGUCGAACGCUGAAGACCUGGCUUUUGUUGGGUUGGAUGAGUGGCGAACGGGUGAGUAACACGUGAGUAACCUGCCCUCUUCUUUGGGAUAACGCCCGGAAACGGGUGCUAAUACUGGAUAUUCACUGAUCUUCGCAUGGGGGUUGGUGGAAAGGUUUGUUCUGGUGGGGGAUGGGCUCGCGGCCUAGCAGCUUGGUGGUGGGGUGAUGGCCUACAAAGGCUUUGACGGGUAGCCGGCCUGAGAGGGUGACCGGGCACAUUGGGACUGGUAUACGGCCCAGACUGCGACGGGAGGCAGCAGUGGGGAAUAUUGCACAAUGGGCGAAAGCCUGAAGCAGCGACGCCGCGUGAGGGAUGGAGGCCUUCGGGUUGUAAACCUCUUUCGCGCAUGGUCAAGCCGCAACUGUGGGUUGUGGUGAGGGUAGUGGGUAAAGAAGCGCCGGCUAACUACGUG
RNAcentral lists this ribosomal RNA (486 nucleotides) under uncultured bacterium. RNAcentral's name for it is "partial 16S ribosomal RNA". It matches the Rfam family "Bacterial small subunit ribosomal RNA", at positions 28 to 507 of the family's 1533-position model. The record is from RNAcentral.